CAGUCUCAGUCAGGACACAGCAUGGACAUGAGGGUCCCUGCUCAGCUCCUGGGGCUCCUGCUGCUCUGGCUCUCAGGUGCCAGAUGUGACAUCCAGAUGACCCAGUCUCCAUCCUCCCUGUCUGCAUCUGUAGGAGACAGAGUCACCAUCACUUGCCGGGCAAGUCAGAGCAUUAGCAACUAUUUGAGUUGGUAUCAGCAGAAACCAGGGAAAGCCCCUAAGCUCCUGAUCUAUGAUGCAUCCACUUUGCAAAGUGGGGUCCCAUCAAGGUUCAGUGGCAGUGGAUCUGGGACAGAUUUCACUCUCACCAUCAGCAGUCUGCAACCUGAAGAUUUUGCAACAUAUUACUGUCAGCGUGGUUACGGU
RNAcentral lists this long non-coding RNA (366 nucleotides) under Pan troglodytes (chimpanzee). RNAcentral's name for it is "long non-coding RNA NONPTRT010727". Lineage: Eukaryota; Metazoa; Chordata; Mammalia; Primates; Hominidae. The record is from RNAcentral.